This 449-nucleotide ribosomal RNA is filed under the name uncultured bacterium. RNAcentral describes it as "partial 16S ribosomal RNA". It matches the Rfam family "Bacterial small subunit ribosomal RNA", at positions 29 to 523 of the family's 1533-position model. The record is from RNAcentral.
AACGAACGCUGGCGGCAUGCCUAACACAUGCAAGUCGAACGAGAUCUUCGGGUCUAGUGGCGCACGGGUGCGUAACGCGUGGGGAUCUGCCCUUUGGUUCGGAAUAACAGGUGGAAACGACUGCUAAUACCGGAUGAUGACGAAAGUCCAAAGAUUUAUCGCCAGAGGAUGAGCCCACGUAGGAUUAGCUAGUUGGUGUGGUAAAGGCGCACCUAGGCGACGAUCCUUAGCUGGUCCGAGAGGAUGAUCAGCCACACAGGGACUGAGACACGGCCCAGACUCCUACGGGAGGCAGCAGUGGGGAAUAUUGGACAAUGGGCGAAAGCCUGAUCCAGCAAUGCCGCGUGAGUGAUGAAGGCCUUAGGGUUGUAAAGCUCUUUUACCCAGGAUGAUAAUGACAGUACCGGGAGAAUAAGCUCCGGCUAACUCCGUGCCAGCCGCCGCGGUAA